GGCCUUUUCAUUUUGAUUUUGAGCACCCAUCAUGUACCGAAGAGCACAUCAAGGAGCUCAUCUGGAGGGAAUCAUUGGAGUUCAAUCCAGAUCCUCCAGCACAUUAGGAGAAAAUGAAUAUGCUGUAGAAAUACAUUGGGAAUUGGGAUAAUUUCUCUCCCUUGAAUACACAAUUGUCCACCAACAUUUCCUGGGAGUACUUGAACUUGGCAUUCCACGACUAUGAAAGACAAAGUCGCCCAAUGUUCUAGAUACCUAUGCAUAUCUUCUUCAGGGAUUUGGAUGCUUUUAGUUUUAUGUUAAUACGUUAAGUGCAAAUCUCCUGUAAGUACUAGUAGUUGGGAGUUUUAAGAUAUGAGCUCAUCAAAGAUUGAGCAUAUUGUGUUCCUUAUGGAUCUAAUUUUCCAUAUCUAUGUAUCUAUAUAGAUAUAAUAAAGUUGGUCUCUAAUAAAUAUAACUUACUAAAAUUUUCUAAUAAAU
RNAcentral lists this unclassified non-coding RNA (480 nucleotides) under Hevea brasiliensis (rubber tree). Lineage: Eukaryota; Viridiplantae; Streptophyta; Magnoliopsida; Malpighiales; Euphorbiaceae. The record is from RNAcentral.